RNAcentral lists this ribosomal RNA (526 nucleotides) under uncultured bacterium. RNAcentral describes it as "bacterial SSU rRNA". It matches the Rfam family "Bacterial small subunit ribosomal RNA", at positions 984 to 1509 of the family's 1533-position model. The record is from RNAcentral.
ACAUCCAGAGAACUUAGCAGAGAUGCUUUGGGUGCCUUCGGGAACUCUGAGACAGGUGCUGCAUGGCUGUCGUCAGCUCGUGUUGUGAAAUGUUGGGUUAAGUCCCGNAACGAGCGCAACCCUUAUCCUUUGUUGCCAGCGGUUCGGCCGGGAACUCAAAGGAGACUGCCGGUGAUAAACCGGAGGAAGGUGGGGAUGACGUCAAGUCAUCAUGGCCCUUACGGCCAGGGCUACACACGUGCUACAAUGGCGCAUACAAAGAGAAGCGACCUCGCGAGAGCAAGCGGACCUCAUAAAGUGCGUCGUAGUCCGGAUUGGAGUCUGCAACUCGACUCCAUGAAGUCGGAAUCGCUAGUAAUCGUAGAUCAGAAUGCUACGGUGAAUACGUUCCCGGGCCUUGUACACACCGCCCGUCACACCAUGGGAGUGGGUUGCAAAAGAAGUAGGUAGCUUAACCUUCGGGAGGGCGCUUACCACUUUGUGAUUCAUGACUGGGGUGAAGUCGUAACAAGGUAAGCGUAGCGAG